CUCGUAUUUUACGAUUCGAUGUCACCAGACACAAGUUCUUUAAAACCCUAAUUUCACUUUUCUCUUUAUUUUUCUUCCACAUUUAUCUCUCAAAAUCCAAAAAAAAAAAGAAAAAUCCAAUUUACAAGAAACAAAAAAGAAUCAAUUUCCCAAUCUUUCACUUAUAAAACUCGUUUUUAUUCGCCAUUAUUUUUUUAAUUUUGUUUUAUUUUCUCAUUUUUCCUUGUUUUAGAUAAUUUUGUCUAUGUUGAAAACUAGGGUUUGCUCCAAUGGUGGGUUUUGUGUGUUGAAAUUAGGGCAUUUCAGAUAAAAUUUUCACCUACUUUCUCCUUUGAAGGAAACGUGGGUUCUCGUGGCUUCCCAAAAAUAUAAUCCUGUUUUGAAGGUGAGUUUUGGUUGGAAAAGAUGUCAUCAAGGUAUCAAAUACUUGGUGAUCGACCAAUUGAUCAAUGGAGGGUUACAGAAUUGAAAGAAGAACUUAAGAGGCGGAAAUUGACAACACGGGGCUUGAAAGAGGAUUUGGUAAAACGUUUGGAUGAAGCCCUUCGAAUUGAAAGGGCAAAUACUCCAGAUGAAGCAUAUAAUGGUUUUAAUUCUGAUCCCCAGCCUAUAGUUGAGGGAGGGAUUGAAAAAUCUGUGCCGGUUGUUGCUGAGACAGUUAAGGAUGCUGUGGAUCAUGGUAGUAGUGGUAUUGAGAAGGGGAGUGGGGUAAAGGUUCAGGUUGACAUUAAUGAUAGAGCAGCUGCAUUGGGUCAUGGAGGAGUUCAAGGAAGGGACAUAUUGGUGGAAGAGGAGCCCGUUAUUCAAACUGCCACAGUUCAGAAUGAGAUAACGGUUACCAAGACUGUGGUAUGUGACGUACCAUUGAUUGGACAAGAUUUGCAGAGCUUGGGACAGGAGGAGAUUGUGAAUUCUAAUAUCCAAGUGGAGUAUGAGGAUCUGAAGCCCCAGGUGGAGGAUAAGGAUCCAAAGCCUCAGGUGGAGAGUGAGGGUCCAAAGCCCCAGGGGGAGAGUGAGGGUCCAAAGCCCCAGGUGGAGAUUGAGAGUCCAAAGCUUCAGUUGGAGAAUGAUAAUCCAAAGGCCCUGCUGGAGAGUGUGGGUUCAAAGCCUCAGCUGGAGAAUGAUGAUCUGAAGCCCCAGCUGGAGAAUGAGUGUUUAAAGGCUCCACAUGAGGAUGACAUGCGUGACUCUUCUACUCCUAACAACCAGGUAUCUGAGGUCAGCACUAUUUUAGGGUUUCAAGUAAAAUCUGAUUCUAUUUCUACUGAUUCUGUGUCAAUUAAUGAAAAGAUUGAACUAAAGGAUAAUAUAAUUGCUGAUAAUGUCAAAUUAGACCUAGAUGUUGUUAAGCUGGAGAUGGUGGAACCAUCAUCCAGCAAUGUUGUCCCAAUUAGUGGUGAAUCACAUCCAAUGGAUGUUGAAGAGCCACUUGAGAACAAGGUGAUUGUUGAUGAGGGAGAUAACAAGAAUGUUACAAAUGCAGACAUGGCCAAUAAAAAUGACAGUGCGGGGAUGGGGUACUCAGAAAAAUUAAAUUUAGAUAGAAGUUCUGGUGAUGACUCUAUGGAGGAGGAUGUGCUUGAGAGUAAACAAAUUGAUUCAAAAUGUAGUACUGGUGAAAUGGGAGAACAGAGUGAGAAAAAUGAAGUGUCUAUUAUAAAGGAUGAAGGUCCCGUUGGUGUUGUAGGAGAUGGUUUAUCUGCUGAUAAAGAGGACGUCUUUGUGGAGAAUAAGAGCUGCUCUUCUGUUCCUGCUGAGAAAAGAAAGACUCAUUAUCAGGAAGCUGUUGGGAACAAUGAGCCUUCAAAAAGGCGCAAAUGGAACUCUGAAAGAAUAAAAGUUCCAGAGCAGCAAGGCUCUAAUCUUGUACCCACCACCACACCUAAGGACACCACUCAUCCUCCUGCUUUUAAACGUAACUUCUCUAGAUCAGACUCCAGUGCUAGUGAAGAUACACCUAAGGAUCGAGUUGUUCCUCCAUCACAAAAACUUCCAACCACUUCACUCAGAAUUGAUAAUUUUCUGCGCCCUUUUACCUUGAAAGCUGUGCAAGAACUUUUAGGGAAAACUGGAACAGUUACGAGCUUCUGGAUGGACCACAUUAAGACCCAUUGCUAUGUUACUUAUUUAUCUGUGGAAGAAGCAAUUGAGACACGAAAUGCUGUUUACAACCUGCAAUGGCCACCUAAUGGUGGACGUCUAUUGGUGGCUGACUUUGUUGAUCCCCAGGAAGUUAAAAUUCGGCUGGAGGCUCCACCUCAGACUCCAACUACUCCUAGGACUUCUGGUUCUACUGCUUCUCAAGCUCAGCCAACUUCUCAGCGCCAUUCCUCACCUCGUCAACAGGUUUCUAGACAGCAGCUUCCACCGCCUUCUGCACUUCCACCACCACCGCCUUUGUCUAACCCACCACAGGUUAGAGAACGGCUUCCUCUGCCACCGCCACCUCCAGAGAAACUAGAUCCUCCUAUUGUCACUCUGGAUGACCUGUUUCGCAAAACCAAAGCAACUCCUCGGAUCUACUAUUUGCCUCUGUCAGAAGAACAAGUUGCAGCAAAGCGAGCAGCACAUGGCAGAAACACCAAGCAGUAGGGAUCAGGCUAUAAUUUUAUCCCUGGCUGCUCUUAGGAUAUUCUUGUCGGUUGGUCUGUAUGUUAGACAAUGAUUCAGGUUUGGAAUUAUAAUUCGAAGGAUGGGGUAGGUUGCUGGUUUGGGCCCUGUGGAGCUAUUGAUCUUGAUGUUCAUAUCCUCAAACAUAAGUCAUUAUUAUUAAUUACAAAUAUGUAACAAAUAAAUAGCACAUCUUACCAUUUUAAAGGGAAGGAAUGAAUCCUCCUAAAGGCCAUAAUAAAACAUUUAUUCCCAUAAUAAUAAAUCUUUCAAAGACAACAUUUAAAUUAAUAGAGAAAUAAAUAAGGAAGAACAAAAAAUAUAUAAUGCUUGAAGGAUCUCAUAAUUUUUUUAUUGCGAGUCCCCUUAAAUCUGGGAUUCACUAUAAUUAUAGAUUAAAAAUUAAAAUUUAUGGUGAAAUGACAGAAAUUUAAAUGACAAAUUUAA
This is an RNA transcript of Durio zibethinus, 3057 nucleotides long. RefSeq lists it as uncharacterized. NCBI's taxonomy places the organism in Eukaryota, Viridiplantae, Streptophyta, Magnoliopsida, Malvales, Malvaceae. The record is from RefSeq and is a predicted model, not a curated record.